CUUCCAGGCGCGGCUAACAAUGCAAGUCGCACGAGAAAGGGCUUCGGCCCCGGUACAGUGGCGCACGGGUGAGUAACACGUGGGUAAUCUGCCUUCGAGCAGGGGAUAACAUUCCGAAAGGAGUGCUAAUACCGCAUAAGACCACGCCCUCGAAAGAGGAAGCGGUCAAAGCUGGCCUCUAUACAUAAGCUAGCACUCGAAAAUGAGCCCGCGGAGCAUCAGCUAGUUGGUGAGGUAAUGGCUCACCAAGGCUUAGACGCUUAGCUGGUCUGAGAGGAUGAUCAGCCACACUGGAACUGAGACACGGUCCAGACUCCUACGGGAGGCAGCAGUGGGGAAUCUUGCGCAAUGGGCGAAAGCCUGACGCAGCGACGCCGCGUGAGUGAUGAAGGCCUUCGGGUUGUAAAGCUCUGUGGGGAGAGAAGAAUAAGUGCGGGCUAAUACUCCGCAUGAUGACGGUAUCUCCUUAGCAAGCACCGGCUAACUCUGUGCCAGCAGCCGCGGUAAGACAGAGGGUGCAAACGUUGUUCGGAAUUACUGGGCGUAAAGCGAGUGUAGGCGGUUUGGUAAGUCGGAUGUGAAAGCCCCGGGCUCAACCCGGGAAGUGCACUCGAUACUGCCAAGCUAGAGUAUCGGAGAGGUUGGUGGAAUUCUCGGUGUAGAGGUGAAAUUCGUAGAUAUCGAGAGGAACACCGGUGGCGAAGGCGGCCAACUGGACGAAUACUGACGCUGAGACUCGAAAGCGUGGGGGAGCAAAC
This 758-nucleotide ribosomal RNA is filed under the name uncultured delta proteobacterium. RNAcentral describes it as "bacterial SSU rRNA". It matches the Rfam family "Bacterial small subunit ribosomal RNA", at positions 35 to 773 of the family's 1533-position model. The record is from RNAcentral. Lineage: Bacteria; Deltaproteobacteria.